ACGAUAAAUGUGCUGAAAUCAUCUUUAAGUUUGACAAGCCUAUAUAUGUGUAACACAAAAAAUCUUAGCAAAUGAAAACAUCUUAGCAACUUCACUUUACUGGAAAGACAAUUGAAUCUACAUGGAAAUGAGCUAUUGCAAAUCAUGUAGUUCAGAAACAUAGACACGGUCUAAGUAGUUUACUAGGCUUAGAUCAGCAUGGAAAUCUUUUGUUUCUUUUCUAAAGUGUAUUUCCAUGUCUGAAUAUUGGUCUUAUUAACGAACCAUCUGUUUGAAAAGUCAGUCCAGAUCUUAGAGCUGCACGUGGGCAAUAUUACUCGCAACAUCAAGCCGAGGGAUCGGCUAGGCUGCACUUGACAUCUA
RNAcentral lists this long non-coding RNA (363 nucleotides) under Olea europaea (common olive). RNAcentral describes it as "long non-coding RNA (OEUR_LNC013567)". Lineage: Eukaryota; Viridiplantae; Streptophyta; Magnoliopsida; Lamiales; Oleaceae. The record is from RNAcentral.